Triticum aestivum (bread wheat) is the source of this 7198-nucleotide long non-coding RNA. RefSeq lists it as uncharacterized. The transcript has 5 exons. Lineage: Eukaryota; Viridiplantae; Streptophyta; Magnoliopsida; Poales; Poaceae. The record is from RefSeq and is a predicted model, not a curated record.
UAAAAACUACACAAGGAAAGAAAAAUACACCGCCACUUCCCCUCGAUCCAGCUGCUUCCUCCAUCUAGGAAAUCCUAGGGCGUGGUUUUGGGAUGCCGCCGCCACCAUUGCCGGGGUUCCCAGCCUCCGCCACCACCAUCGCCGGGGUUCCCAACCUCCGUCGCCUAACUUUGUGCUCCUACGCCGACCUCCGAGACCGCCGGCGUCGGCGCCAUCGCAACUCCCGGUCAGGGCAGGACUCAAGGGAGGUCGUGGCUCCCCCCAAUCCGUCUCAAUCCCACCGCCCCGCCCAGGAGGACAUGCAACGACAAGCGUUGGCGCAUCGUCGCGGGUGGCGGCGAGGAGGACGGGCCAUGGCAGCCCCCGAAGCACCACCACGACAGCACCUCGCCGCGGCCCCUCGGCAUGGGUUGGCGCCCCCCGUCCAAGAGAUGGGAGUAGAUGCACUACAGGAGGGAUAGGAGCUCGUUGAUCAUGAGGCUUAUAAGUAUCUCCUUGCUGAAUAUCAGGUUGUGUUCUCUCUCUACUUCAUGUUUUGUCUUAGAAGCAAAUAUAGUAUGCAAGUCAUAUUUUUUGACGGACAGUAAGUGGCAAUCUUUUGUUCAAUUGUCAUUUACAAUCAUUUGUCUGUAGGCGCCAUUUAUUUGUCUGAUGCAUUCUUAAGUUACAAAAUUAACUAUGGGCUCUAGCUAAUGUUGCAGUGACUCACCCUGUAAAUGUAGGUUUGGCUUUUGGCACCAUUGCAUUAAUAUCUGUAGACCUUCUUUGCAGUGUACCAUACUAUUGUCAAACCAGUCUUCAGUAGCAACCGGACAAUCAUCUUGCCACAUACGUGUCCGCUGGCAAGGCUCCACCCUGUUCAAGGGUGGUAUGUCCCAUUGGAAGUGGCUGUUGUGAGAGUCCCAGUGCUGCAUCUUUCAAACGUCUAGAUAAAAGGAUAAAUGAUUCGCCUGAACUUUUGGCAAAAGACUAAAAGCUACGCAAUUAUGAUUUUGAUGCUCCCUUCUGAUAGUACGAGAAAAUGGCAUGUACACUUUCCCCUGAAAACUAGAUGUCGUCUCUCAUCAGGUUGCCACUACACUUUCCCCUAAUUUCUUUUCAGUAGUUUAUAACAUUUACUUUUAAUCUUUUAAAAAUAAUAGGACUAUGUAAAUAUACUCCUCGAGACAAAGCAUAGAGUCGCUUAGUUGUGGUUUCUCUUUUAGGCCCAAAUAGACAACUAUAUAUUAUAUACACUGCUGUAGUGCAUGAAACCAUAUGCCAGUAUAGAAUACUUGUACAUCUUGAAUGGACUGGGGUGCAGGUUAGCCUGUUGUUUCUUCUCGAAAACCAUGUUUCCCACCACUUUCGUCUGGUUUUUUUCGUCUGGUUUUUUCCGUCCCACCUCCCACCACCGCUACACUAAAAAAAUCCGUAUGCCGCCCCUCCUCUCGAUCCACCGCUCCCGCUGCGACCUCUCUCUCUCCCUCGUCUCGCGCUCCACCGCCGCCGCCCCAUCUCUCGCUCCGUCGCCGCCUCUAAUGCUCCACCGGACCGACCUCUUCUUCGAGCGCGGCGGAAGGAGCAGCUCCACCUCUCCAUUCCCCCACGCGAUAACGCUCCAGACCCCCACCCCAUGCCCGGCCGCCGCUAGGGUUUCUACCUUCGCUGCCCCGCCGUCACCUCUCCUCACUUUCCCCCACCGCCGCCCCACUAUGCCCCCUCUCAUGUUUCGAUCUGGAAAACAGUAAGGAGAUGAUGAGCAGAGCUCCUAGCGCGAUGAGCGAUCAAAUCCGUGGCGGGCAGUGCCUCCCCAAACUCCCAUCGGGGCGAGGCACUGGAGUCCGCCACCCUUCCCUCUCACGUGCAUCGCGGUUCUCGAUCGGGCGCCGGCAUGCUCAAGAUGCAGCCUUUCCCUUCCCCUAUAUCUUCUCUCUCUCACUCCUACCAUCCUGGUUUCCUGAGUUCCGGCUGCUUGCGGAGUGGGCAUAGAGGGAGCGGUGUUGGGCUAGAAGGGAAGGGAGUGGAUCAGCCGUCGGCAUGCUCGCCGACGUGCCAUCCAUGUCCCUCCAACGAUGCCCUGCAUCGCCCACGUCCAGGUCCUCCAGAUCCUAAUUAUGCUAUGGCAUCUGAUUUUGCACAUGUACGUACCAAAGUUGAUUUUGUACACUGUUGUUGCUGAGAUCGCUGCCCUUAUUCUUAGUUUUUGCAGGAAGAAAAAUUAAGGGAAAUCAAAGUCAGAAGAACUAAAAUUACUAUGCACUGUGUCUACAAGAAGUGCAAGCUGCCUAUUCCUACAACAAGUAUGCAUAUGAGCAUACCACAUAAGGAUAAGGAUCCACGAGUGGGUAUUAUACUUUCAAAACGUUUGUUAGAAUCAUUCUUUAUACCACUUGAUUGUACUUUUAGCCACAGAGCUGCAAAUUUCAUGUGCUAAUACAUGAUAUAAUAGCAUAAUAGAAUCUGGAGGACCUUCAGACUUGGCUCUCUGCUGGGGUGAAGGGUGUGAAGUGGUUUGCCGCAGAUUUAGAGGCCAUUUUUCUUACCAAUUUGUAUAUGCUCUACAGUUCAGAGCUGGUUUUUAUUUUUCCUUAAAGAAAGCCGGUUUAAUUUUCUGCUGGUUUCUGCUUUACCUUCUUUAGCUCAUAUUCUUCUAUAACAUAGUGCUUUUUUAUCUCUUACCGAACGUAAGCAGCACACAUCGCAGUGCUUGACAGUGACAAGCAGGUUCUGCAGGGAACCAUGAUGCUAUGUGUCAAAGGCUUAAAAUUGCAGUCAGGAGGAUGUUGUCGGGCCUCCUGGGACGAGUAUAUCCUACUAAGUGAAAGUUGUCGCGGCGGAGACUCACUUUACUUCUUCUUCAGGUGUUCUAUUCUAUUUAGUUAAAUUAAUUGGAGGUGACCUAAUUGAAGCACUUGUUUCUCAUGAUCAGAUUGGCUGAUGAUACAGCAUGCACUACAACCUGGCUUGGCACAGGUACAUUAAAAUGUAUCAUUCUGUAGUAUGAAAGGUAAGGGAGAAAAACUGAGAGCCUUGCAUAAGCUACAACGCUUUUUUUAGAGCAACUACAAUGUUGUCAUGAGAGUUAUGCUCAACUCUUGCUAGGUACAUAAGGAUUUUCUACUUAACACCUCCACUCCGCACCACUAAAUAUCAAGAGAUUUGGUUUAUGUGUUUGUCGACGUGAUGUUUUCAACUGUCUAUUCAUUUUUAGUUAUGGAUUUAAUUUUUAGAAGCAACAAUUGCUGUAAGCUAGCAGAAUAUCAAUAGUUUAGAAAAGGUUGUUCAUCUAUUUGUACGAUACAUGAUUACAACAAACAUAUGCUUUUAUUCUUAAUUUUUAUGGUAGUCUCUACUCCUAAAGAGGGAGUCCGUAAGCAACAAUUUCUUUUUUAUGUGUUGAAUCACUGGUGUUCUCAAGGCUUUCCAAAUUGACCUUUACCAACAAAUCUCGACAAGGCAGUGUUCGAGGGUGUGCCUAGGUGAAACACAUGGUCUGCAUCACCCUUUCCUUCUAGAGCCGGUACCAGGUGUGUGCAAUUUGAUGAAAUACAGAUGUCUUGUGUUUUAAUCAGUAUGCCGCAUACUUUUUUCAUAUGUGCUUUGUUGCAAAAAAUCGAUGUAUCAUUUAAUUUAUUAACCAGUUUACCUCAACAAAUGACCUUCUACUUAGCAUCAAAUAAUGAAUGUAAAUGAUCUAGAAGUAUUUGCUUUGGUGCUUAAUGGAUCACAUCAUGCAUCCUAUUUAAACUGCAAUGCUUCACACCUAAUGUUAUUUUUUGAGUCAUGGAGCAGCGGCGGUGCCUUUCUAUACCAUGACUGGAUAUAGAAUAAGGUUGAUUUUUGUUUGCUCUGACGAUAGGGAGGCAAGCCCAGGAUCACAUUCUUGGCCCCGAUUGAAGGAACGACGAUUUUCAGGAUUGACGUGGAUGGAUUUUCUUGAACAUGACGGUGUCAUUUUUGUUGCCAUUGAACACUAUAGAUCAUUAGUUCAGAGGUUUCCUCUCAGAUUUAUUUGCUUGUUACUAAUUUCCUCUGUUUAUUACUAAUUUUUACCUACAAUGUGUUGUUUCCUGCCUUUUUCCGCAGGUAUGGUUAGACAUUUGCUUGCUUAAUCUGUCAUGCGAGUUUGUGCAAUGUGUAGUGAGCUUGCAUAUUUCCAUUUUAUUUAUCUUCUCAUGUUGGCAUGUAAUUGGCUUGGUCAUUUAAGAUGGCAAGAGAAGAUUGUGAAGCUAUUGUUACAGCACUAACAAAUAUUCCUCGUGUUCAUUCGUGAGUAGAGUAGAAUAAUAUAUGUGAUUUCUCGAAGCUAUGGUGGUGGUAGCUGCCAUAUAAACGGAAUGGAACGGAGUCGGAAGCUGAGGGGGGCUCAAUAAAGAAAAUGGCAGGGACAGAAGAAUAUAAUUUGUGUGAUUAUGUUAACAUAGAUUUGUCUCUCUACAUAUCUCUUUUCUGUAGGAGGCUUGUGAUAGCACACAACAAUGAAGGGGGCGAGAUAAAAUAGGAGGAUGUCUGAGGAGCAGGGCCAAGACUAAACAAAGAACGAAGAAUGCCUUUUCAUUUCAUGAUCAUAAAACACUACUAAGCUUAUUUUUCAUAUGGCAACUGUCGGAGCUAAGAGGCAGCCCGCGAAGCACCAACACGACGCCACCUGGUCUGCCAUCACCCAAGAUAUGGCUCCGGGCUAUUGAUAAUGGAGGUUCAGGAUCCUUCCUCUCAGCACGCACUCAUGGCAGAAUCAGCAGCGCGCCACGCGGAUGGAACCCGUCCGAGAUCACGGGAUGCUUCCUUACAUGGCUCGCCAAGAUUGCUAUUCCGGACUUUUUCGUAAACAAAGUGAAGAGUGGGACAUGAUCUGCACUUGUUCUAAUAUAAAAUAUACAGUACUUGUGUAGAUGUAACUCGAUCCACUGUGUCCGAUCAUAAGGUGACAAUGGCGGCACAACAUCCGGGAGGAGACGGUGGCAAACCCCCCUCCCACAACUGUAGCAAUCCACCAGGCGGCGGCACGAACGACCUUCAUCUCUAGAUGCUUCCCCGCACACCGAUGAGAUUCACGCUGAUGGUCUUGACUCAUGACCAAUGUCCUUCAGGCCUGAAGUCCCUGUAGUACCCAAGGUUGAGUGAUCACUGUUGCGCCUCGCUGUGUCCUAACUCCUGACCAAUGUCCUUCAGCCUCCGGUAGCUCAUUCACUUUCUAGCGUUCCAUCUACUUCUGUCAAGGUUUAAUGUUCUUGUACUAUUUUUCUGAGACAUGGUCACAGUUUCUUUAUGCAUAAUUUAAAAAAAAUCAAAAAUCUUGUUAUGUGCUGUUUAGUAUCUCUUUGUACCUCUAAUUUAUGCACCAAACUAGAGGGGGGGAGGAUGUUCAAUAUCUUUUCCAAUAAUAUAUGGUGAACAAACAAUUUGAUUUUCGUAUACUUGUGUCUUUCAUGUUCACUUGGUCCAUUAGUUUAAUUUUUCUUGAACUUCUAUUUGGAAGGAGGCAAAUUGAUCAGAUGUCACCAUCUCAGUGCCAGUCUAUUGUUACAUUGGCACAUAUUAUUCUGAUAUGUAAUAUUCUAAAUAAUAAUUUGAUUAUGUCCAAGUGAACAGUAGAAGAAUUAUCUGUCAGUGCAUAGAGUAUUUUCGACUUUCACCAUCGAGUCUUUGUAGGUAAGUUGUAUGUGUUUAAUCUACUAACACCUGCAUAUUUGACAUGAAAUGCAGGAAGGGCCACAACUAAUUGAUGUUCUCAUAAUGCUACCAUAAUGCUAUGCUUUCUCAUCUGUACUCGUAAUUGUUCAGGCAUAGAUGCAUUAUGGUCAUGGAGAACAAUACCAGUAUGAAUUGAUUGCCCUCCUGGUCAGUACUAUUUUAUUCUAAGUAUUCAGUUGCCUGCAAAAUAAUUCCGUAAUAGACAUCUAACUGCAUGUUGUUCCUCUGCUUCUGCACUGCAUAUAUAUUUAUUUUCUAGAUAUAUUUUCUUUUUUGCAAUUUAUGUUGUUUUGCUUACUACAAGUAACAUGGAGAUGUCAUAUGGUAUUGUUCAGUUUGUGAAAUGCAGAAGUGAGAGGAGGAACCAUGAAUUUUUAACGAGCAUUAGUUUGUGCCUCAUGGAUGAAGAUUGCAAUUACUACUUUGUAACAGUUCCAAACAGCUGAUCGUGCUCUGAAUUUAAGCCUAUCGAAAGCAAAAAAUGAAAGUUAGGUCUCUUGUAACAUUGUGAGGGCACUCAAGUCCUGAGCUUGCUACGUAAAAUUAUUCGCCACUUAUAUUUUGGAUUUUUUUAAAGUGUGAAGUAUGCAUAUACUAUUUUCAAUAUCUGACUCUUUUUAUAUAUCUAAUGGAAAUUAAGUGAUGGCAUGGUCUGCAAACAUGAACUAGGGCCAUUGCUCUAUUGCUAAGAUACAAUGGGUUGUUUAUUCAAUCCCAUUGCAUCUACCAGUGAUGGUUCCAAUUUUUGUGUCCUAUCUCCUUUUGGAGGCCUACUUCAGAUUCUAAUUCAAAUAAUGUCCAUUCAUGCUUUUAGGAAGGGGAUGAAAUGCUAAGAUGAUUUAAGUAUUGAACUGAGAAAUUAUAGGUUUGAGAUUCUUUUUACUGAAAUACAUUUCCAAUGUAAAAGGAUUCAUUAAAUAAAUACCUAAUUAGACUAUGCAAUGUUUACAUAUAUUUUGCAAAUCGGAGGAUACUCUCUGCGUUUAGAUGUAGGGUUAUUAGGUUAAUUUUCUUGCAAGGAAAAAUGUGAGUUUAAGAGUUCAUUAAGCUAGAACUUCAGAUCAGUAUGCGAUCUUCAACGCAGGAAGGCAUGGAUUCAGUGGCAAACACUUCGAUUAGGAUGCGGCCCUCUAGGUACGAAGGCAUGGAUUCAACGGCAAAAAAAUUGAUCGGGAUGCAGCUCUUUAGGCAAGAAUCCACAGCAAGAACAUCAAUCUGGAUGGAUUCAACCAGUGUGCUAGAUCGUUGGAUGACAUAAUACAGUUAUGAUGUGGGUCGAUGGUGGUACUCUAGCUCCAACCAAACUCUGGCUCAUCCGAUCUCCAGGCCUCAGUCUGUUUGGAAUCAGAUACAACCAUCUGAUCCAUGAUUGUUAUUGGGCAUCAUAUUUCAAAAUAUUCUUUUUUUAGAUUUUGUAAAGGUUGCAGAUAACAAGCCAUUGGGAGCUAAUGGUUCAGUUAGAUCCUGCAUUUUCUUGAUCUUUUUCCUGUUAGGUAAAUAAAUUACCAUGGUACUUUUCUAA